UUUCCGUAGGUGAACCUGCGGAAGGAUCAUUAUUGUAUAACCGAGGGGCGAGGGCUGUCGCUGACCCGAAAGGUCGUGCACGCCCGAGUGCCCUCACACACAUCCAUCUCACCCCUAUGUGCACCACCGCGUGGGUCCCCCUUUGGCUUGUUCGGAGGGGGGCUUACGUUUUCACACAAACUUUGUAUGCAGUGUAGAAUGUAUUUUUUGUUUUUGCGAUCACGCAAUCAAUACAACUUUCAACAACGGAUCUCUUGGCUCUC
RNAcentral lists this unclassified non-coding RNA (263 nucleotides) under plant metagenome. RNAcentral's name for it is "partial contains small subunit ribosomal RNA, internal transcribed spacer 1, and 5.8S ribosomal RNA". The record is from RNAcentral.